AGUAAUGUCUGGGAAACUGCCUGAUGGAGGGGGAUAACUACUGGAAACGGUAGCUAAUACCGCAUAACGUCGCAAGACCAAAGAGGGGGACCUUCGGGCCUCUUGCCAUCGGAUGUGCCCAGAUGGGAUUAGCUAGUAGGUGGGGUAACGGCUCACCUAGGCGACGAUCCCUAGCUGGUCUGAGAGGAUGACCAGCCACACUGGAACUGAGACACGGUCCAGACUCCUACGGGAGGCAGCAGUGGGGAAUAUUGCACAAUGGGCGCAAGCCUGAUGCAGCCAUGCCGCGUGUAUGAAGAAGGCCUUCGGGUUGUAAAGUACUUUCAGCGGGGAGGAAGGGAGUAAAGUUAAUACCUUUGCUCAUUGACGUUACCCGCAGAAGAAGCACCGGCUAACUCCGUGCCAGCAGCCGCGGUAAUACGGAGGGUGCAAGCGUUAAUCGG
RNAcentral lists this ribosomal RNA (443 nucleotides) under Escherichia coli. RNAcentral's name for it is "bacterial SSU rRNA". It matches the Rfam family "Bacterial small subunit ribosomal RNA", at positions 109 to 548 of the family's 1533-position model. The record is from RNAcentral. Lineage: Bacteria; Pseudomonadati; Pseudomonadota; Gammaproteobacteria; Enterobacterales; Enterobacteriaceae.